GGACUACACGGUUUCUAAUCCUGUUUGCUCCCCACGCUUUCGCACCUCAGCGUCAGUAUCGAGCCAGUGAGCCGCCUUCGCCACUGGUGUUCUUGCGAAUAUCUACGAAUUUCACCUCUACACUCGCAGUUCCACUCACCUCUCUCGAACUCAAGAUCUCCAGUAUCAAAGGCAGUUCCGAAGUUGAGCUCCGGCAUUUCACCCCUGACUUAAAGAUCCGCCUACGUGCGCUUUACGCCCAGUAAAUCCGAACAACGCUAGCCCCCUUCGUAUUACCGCGGCUGCUGGCACC
Molecule: unclassified non-coding RNA, 292 nt
Filed under: uncultured Alphaproteobacteria bacterium
Lineage: Bacteria; Pseudomonadati; Pseudomonadota; Alphaproteobacteria
Description: contains 16S-23S intergenic spacer region
Source: RNAcentral